Molecule: ribosomal RNA, 585 nt
Filed under: uncultured Pseudomonas sp.
Lineage: Bacteria; Pseudomonadati; Pseudomonadota; Gammaproteobacteria; Pseudomonadales; Pseudomonadaceae
Description: bacterial SSU rRNA
Rfam family: Bacterial small subunit ribosomal RNA
Source: RNAcentral
ACGGGUGAGUAAUGCCUAGGAAUCUGCCCGGUAGUGGGGGACAACGACUCGAAAGGGACGCUAAUACCGCAUACGUCCUACGGGAGAAAGUGGGGGAUCUUCGGACCUCACGCUAUCAGAUGAGCCUAGGUCGGAUUAGCUAGUUGGUGAGGUAAUGGCUCACCAAGGCGACGAUCCGUAACUGGUCUGAGAGGAUGAUCAGUCACACUGGAACUGAGACACGGUCCAGACUCCUACGGGAGGCAGCAGUGGGGAAUAUUGGACAAUGGGCGAAAGCCUGAUCCAGCCAUGCCGCGUGUGUGAAGAAGGUCUUCGGAUUGUAAAGCACUUUAAGUUGGGAGGAAGGGUUGUAGAUUAAUACUCUGCAAUUUUGACGUUACCGACAGAAUAAGCACCGGCUAACUCUGUGCCAGCAGCCGCGGUAAUACAGAGGGUGCAAGCGUUAAUCGGAAUUACUGGGCGUAAAGCGCGCGUAGGUGGUUUGUUAAGUUGAAUGUGAAAUCCCCGGGCUCAACCUGGGAACUGCAUCCAAAACUGGCAAGCUAGAGUAGGGCAGAGGGUGGUGGAAUUUCCUGUGUAGCGGUG